Molecule: ribosomal RNA, 201 nt
Filed under: Staphylococcus aureus
Lineage: Bacteria; Bacillati; Bacillota; Bacilli; Caryophanales; Staphylococcaceae
Description: partial 23S ribosomal RNA
Rfam family: Bacterial large subunit ribosomal RNA
Source: RNAcentral
AGAUUAAGUUAUUAAGGGCGCACGGUGGAUGCCUUGGCACUAGAAGCCGAUGAAGGACGUUACUAACGACGAUAUGCUUUGGGGAGCUGUAAGUAAGCUUUGAUCCAGAGAUUUCCGAAUGGGGAAACCCAGCAUGAGUUAUGUCAUGUUAUCGAUAUGUGAAUACAUAGCAUAUCAGAAGGCACACCCGGAGAACUGAAA